Molecule: ribosomal RNA, 914 nt
Filed under: Decorospora gaudefroyi
Lineage: Eukaryota; Fungi; Ascomycota; Dothideomycetes; Pleosporales; Pleosporaceae
Description: LSU rRNA
Rfam family: Eukaryotic large subunit ribosomal RNA
Source: RNAcentral
AGCAUAUCAAUAAGCGGAGGAAAAGAAACCAACAGGGAUUGCCUUAGUAACGGCGAGUGAAGCGGCAACAGCUCAAAUUUGAAAUCUGGCUCUUUUAGAGUCCGAGUUGUAAUUUGCAGAGGGCGCUUUGGCUUUGGCAGCGGUCCAAGUUCCUUGGAACAGGACGUCACAGAGGGUGAGAAUCCCGUACGUGGUCGCUAGACAUUGCCGUGUAAAGCCCCUUCGACGAGUCGAGUUGUUUGGGAAUGCAGCUCUAAAUGGGAGGUAAAUUUCUUCUAAAGCUAAAUACUGGCCAGAGACCGAUAGCGCACAAGUAGAGUGAUCGAAAGAUGAAAAGCACUUUGGAAAGAGAGUCAAACAGCACGUGAAAUUGUUGAAAGGGAAGCGCUUGCAGCCAGACUUGCCUGUAGUUGCUCAUCCGGGCUCUUACCCGGUGCACUCUUCUGCGGGCAGGCCAGCAUCAGUUUGGGCGGUUGGAUAAAGGUCUCUGGCACGUUCCUCUCUUCGGAGUGGCCAUAUAGGGGAGACGACAUACAACCAGCCUGGACUGAGGUCCGCGCAAUCUUGCUAGGAUGCUGGCGCAAUGGCUGUAAGCGGCCCGUCUUGAAACACGGACCAAGGAGUCUAACAUCUAUGCGAGUGUUUGGGUGUCAAGCCCGAGCGCGGAAUGAAAGUGAACGGAGGUGGGAACCUGUAAGGGUGCACCAUCGACCGAUCCUGAUGUCUUCGGAAGGAUUUGAGUAAGAGCAUGGCUGUUGGGACCCGAAAGAUGGUGAACUAUGCUUGAAUAGGGUGAAGCCAGAGGAAACUCUGGUGGAGGCUCGCAGCGGUUCUGACGUGCAAAUCGAUCGUCAAAUUUGGGCAUAGGGGCGAAAGACUAAUCGAACUAUCUAGUAGCUGGUUCCUGCCGAAGU